Long non-coding RNA from Pistacia vera, 853 nucleotides. RefSeq lists it as uncharacterized. The record is from RefSeq and is a predicted model, not a curated record. The transcript is spliced from 4 exons. NCBI's taxonomy places the organism in Eukaryota, Viridiplantae, Streptophyta, Magnoliopsida, Sapindales, Anacardiaceae.
AAUUGUGUUAGAAAAUCAGAAGAGAAUUUGAACCCAAGCUUUCCUCAGGAUGACAUUGAAGAUGAUUCAUGUGCAGCGCAUGAGCUGUCUACAAGUGAUUUGUGUUUAGUGUCUGAUCUUUAGUCUAAAGGGAAAGAAACAUAUGCUAGUGAUAGGAUUGGUAAUUUUCCGAGUCUAGGAGAACUAGCAAAUAUUGAUGAAAGUUUUCUGGCAAAGCGCUGCAAUCUUGGCUACAGAGCAGGUCGUAUAAUAAAACUUGUCCUGGCUAUUGUUGAAGGCAGGAUUCAGUUAGAACAACUUGAAGAAAUUUGCAGUAGUGAAGCAAGUUUAGCCAGCUAUGAUAAGCUGACUAAACAGUUGAGCAAGAUUGAUGGAUUUGGUCCAUUUACAUGUGCCAAUGUGCUUGUAUGCAUGGGAAUUUACCAUGUGAUUCCAUCAGAUUCCUAAACAAUCAGGCAUUUAAAGCAGGUCCAUAAAAGAAAUUGUACCAUUAAAACAGUUCAAAAUGACGUUAAAAUGAACUAUGGAAAGUAUGCACCAUUUCAGUUCUUGGCAUACUGGUCAGAAGUAUGGCACUUCUACGAGGGAAGGUUUGGGAAGCUAAGUGAAAUGCCUUACUCCAGUUACAAACUUAUAACAGCCAGUAAUAUGAGAACCUAAAAAACCAGAAAGUUAAGAGGGCUUCUAUAUAUCUUUUGAUGUGGAAACCAUUCAGGCUUCAGCUAUGGACUCCGGACUCUGCAGGCUGCAGGAUGUGCUCAAUUUCUUUGACUACCUCGCACAUAGAGCUGUUGGUUCCCAGUUCCUGUACACACAUCAUUGCCAGUGUCCAAACUGAUGGCAGGGAUCAAGA